UCCAGACUCCUACGGGAGGCAGCAGUGGGGGAUAUUGCACAAUGGGGGGAACCCUGAUGCAGCGACGCCGCGUGGGUGAAGGAGUGCUUCGGCAUGUAAAGCCCUAUCGGCAGGGAAGAAGCAAGACGGUACCUGACUAAGAAGCCCCGGCUAACUACGUGCCAGCAGCCGCGGUAAUACGUAGGGGGCAAGCGUUAUCCGGAUUUACUGGGUGUAAAGGGAGCGUAGACGGCAGUGCAAGUCCGGAGUGAAAGCCCGGGGCUCAACCCUGGGACUGCUCUGGAAACUGUAAAGCUGGAGUGCGGGAGGGGCAGGCGGAAUUCCUAGUGUAGCGGUGAAAUGCGUAGAUAUUAGGAGGAACACCAGUGGCGAAGGCGGCCUACUGGACGGUGACUGACGCUGAGGCUCGAAAGCGUGGGGAGCAAACAGGAUUAGAUACCCUAGUA
This 446-nucleotide ribosomal RNA is filed under the name uncultured bacterium. RNAcentral describes it as "bacterial SSU rRNA". It matches the Rfam family "Bacterial small subunit ribosomal RNA", at positions 330 to 792 of the family's 1533-position model. The record is from RNAcentral.